Molecule: unclassified non-coding RNA, 264 nt
Filed under: Hevea brasiliensis (rubber tree)
Lineage: Eukaryota; Viridiplantae; Streptophyta; Magnoliopsida; Malpighiales; Euphorbiaceae
Source: RNAcentral
UUAUCACAUAAGCCAAGUUCAGUGCCGCUGUUAGGUUCUGGAGACUCCUUAUGGAUCUGGGUCAGGUUUGUCUUGGACCCUCGUGACUUCCUUUUCCUAGCCUUGGGAUAGGAAUAAAUGGUGAUUUGCCUAGAGAGAGGAGAAGACUGAGAAGCAGCAGCAGAAGAAGGAGGAGGAGUAGUGGCUUCUCCUUCUUCCUUGGCAUCCAUGAAGUGAUAUGUUAAGACAGGUUUCGUGUAGCUAUUAUUACAGGUUUCUGUGUCC